CUUUAACCGUCUCAUUUGAAGCUGCCCAUCCCCACAUAGCUGAGCUCCCAGCAUGACUGGGGCAGUAAGACAACCCUGUUAGGACUAAAAAGCCAUUUCUGCAUCUCGAAGACACAGAUGCAACCCCAGUCUGGCAUUCAAGAGCGUAACUUUAUCAGUGGAGUCUUUACAUUUCUGAAUCAGACAUUAAAGGUGGUGGGACUCACACUGGCAUGGAAAUCCUGCUUCUAUGCUCCCGUGUGUAAAACCUUGGAUCAGAGGCUGUACUCAUUCAUUCAUUCAUUCAUUCACUCAUUCACUCCAUUUAGUGAACAAACUUUUUCUGACUACCAUCUGUGCCACAAGCACAAGGAAUGUUAGAGUUGAAAAACCAAGCCCUUGCCCUUCGGGAGUUUGAUGUUGAGAGGGGGAAAAUAGACACGAAACAGACAUUUCAAGGAGCAGCGCCACGUAGGGACUGUGUAAGGUGACGCAGAAGUGUAGAGAAGGAGCACCUGCUUCGUUCCCAGGGGUGAGGACAGGAAACACGUCCAGGAAGAGGUGGCCUUCAAGCUGAGCCUGGAGGGGUGGGUGGACAGGUGCAACGAUGGGGUUCCUGCAGGAGGACCGGCAAGAGUGAACGCAGGGAGGAUGGAGAUGCACGUCCUGCUGGAAGAACCACGGAGAGUGCAGUUCCAGAGAAGAGACUCUGCACAGCGAGGCCCAGAUGGUGUGGGGCCUGUGCGCCAGCAGAGGGGGUCCCACUGCAGCACGAUGGCAAGAAGGAGCUUUGGAAGGAUUUCAACCAGGGUUGUGACAAGGUGGCACCUUAGAAUCGAGCCACUUUCUCCAGAGCCCUGACCUGUCACCACCAUGGGCCUUUCUGAGUCUGACCCGUGCUGCAGAGGCCAUGUGGAGAAUGAAGAAGGAAGGAGCCAAGAGGAAAACCUCUCACUCGACCAUUAAAAUACAUUCCAGAUGGAUUAGAGAGGAGAGAGUAAGCCUCGGCAAAGGAAAGUCACUUGCCCAAGGACACCAAGUCAUUUUGGUCAGGGCCAGGUCCACCGCCGAGAUCCUCGCUGCUCAUCAUGGUGUCUCAGGAGCAGCAACAUCAGCAUCACCCGGGAGCUGGCUCCUCUGGGCUGUGAUGCUUUCUCAGACUCUCCUGGUGUUGGAUGACCUUGCCAGUUUUGAGCGGUCAGCUCUGGGACGUAGGGAGCGUUAUCCCUCCUUUGCAGGAAUGGAUCAGAAAGGAGAGGCGAUUUGCCAAGUGAGUGAAGGCUGGAGCCAGUAUCUGAGUCAUCAUCUGCCUGUUCCAAAGCCUUUGCCACCUAUACUGAGGUGUCAUAUUACAAACUGGGGCAAUCCCUCCAGGCUUUAAAUUUGAGGAAUUCAAGAGGUUCCAAAGAGAGAAGAACAGAGACAGAGAGCUGAGCGGAGUCACCCAGAGGGCAGAAGGAGCUGGAGGUAGAGCUUUAAUGAACUACUCUGAAAGACCCAAGCACUCAUAAGACAAAGCAACGGACAUGCAUUGAGUUCCCAGUCCUACCGUCUAACCGAGAUAUGACUAUGGAUCUGCUACUUGAUCUUUCUGAGCUCCAUCUGUAAAACACAGAGAAAAACAAUACCAGCAUCACACAACAGGAGUCACCCUGGAGACAAAUGAAAGGAAACUGAAUGUGGAAUGGGGGGAGAGAAGGAUUUCUGUGGAGGAUCUGGGUAACUUCGGGAUCGUUCCGAGAGAUGAUCAUUUCACAGCAGGCUUAGCAGACAGUCUUCGGAUGGAAGCUCUCAAGAGCAAGCCCAGAAAGUUUCUGGAGGGUCAAAGCUAUGAUCUGGAGGGAAAUGGAAGUAUCUACUUAACGUCUGCAAUGUGCCAGGUAAACGCUCCUGCUUUGCUGUCAUUGCCGCAUUUAAUUCUUACAGCAGUACUGUCAGGUCAGCAUCAUUAUCCUUGUUUCAGGGAGGAGGAAACUGAAGCUCAGAGAGGUGCAGAAACUUACCCAAGUCACAUAGCUUCCAAGUGGUGGAGACUGGAUUCCCACUUGGCUCUAGCAGAGUCCUAAGUCCCUAUUACGUCCAGGUACUUUGAGGGAGUAGCAUGGAAUAAGAUUAAGACUUGGCCCUUCCUCUCCAAUUGCUCACAGUCAAACAAGGAUGAUCAGGAAUGCAUGGCAUUGACCAGAAGCCCAGGCAAAAUGCAAAUAGUAACAAAAUGCAAAUGGCAAGAACAGGUUUAAUUAAAGUCCUUUGAGAAUUCACAGAAGGAGCAUGGUACUUUCAGUUGGAGGGAGGCAAAUGGGGAUCAGAUUAAUGGAAGGGGUGACAUUUGAUGUGGUUCUUGAAAAGAGGGUGGGAUUUUCAAAGGC
Long non-coding RNA from Equus caballus (horse), 2348 nucleotides. NCBI's taxonomy places the organism in Eukaryota, Metazoa, Chordata, Mammalia, Perissodactyla, Equidae. The record is from Ensembl.